RNAcentral lists this ribosomal RNA (124 nucleotides) under Cladophialophora sp. RNAcentral's name for it is "partial large subunit ribosomal RNA". It matches the Rfam family "Eukaryotic large subunit ribosomal RNA", at positions 99 to 226 of the family's 3401-position model. Lineage: Eukaryota; Fungi; Ascomycota; Eurotiomycetes; Chaetothyriales; Herpotrichiellaceae. The record is from RNAcentral.
CGGCAACAGCUCAAAUUUGAAAUCUGGCCUUUGGCCCGAGUUGUAAUUUGUAGAGGAUGUUUUGGGUACCGCCCCGGUUUAAAUUUCUUGGAACAGAAUGUCAGAGAGGGUGAGAAUCCCGUCU